UGAGGAAUAUUGCACAAUGGGGGCAACCCUGAUGCAGCAACGCCGCGUGGAGGAUGAAGGUCCUUGGAUUGUAAACUCCUUUUCUGUGGGACGAGUGAGGACGGUACCGCAGGAAUAAGUCACGGCUAACUACGUGCCAGCAGCCGCGGUAAUACGUAGGUGGCGAGCGUUAUCCGGAAUUACUGGGCGUAAAGCGCACGCAGGCGGCUCCACAAGUCUGACGUGAAAUCUCCUGGCUUAACCGGGAGGGGUCGUUGGAAACUGUGGGGCUUGAGGCGAUGAGAGGGACAUGGAAUUCCCGGUGUAGUGGUGGAAUGCGUAGAUAUCGGGAGGAACACCAGAGGCGAAAGCGGUGUCCUGGCAUUGGCCUGACGCUCAUGUGCGAAAGCGUGGGGAGCGAACGGG
This 405-nucleotide ribosomal RNA is filed under the name uncultured bacterium. Its description in RNAcentral is "bacterial SSU rRNA". It matches the Rfam family "Bacterial small subunit ribosomal RNA", at positions 355 to 776 of the family's 1533-position model. The record is from RNAcentral.